RNAcentral lists this ribosomal RNA (253 nucleotides) under uncultured bacterium. RNAcentral's name for it is "partial 16S ribosomal RNA". It matches the Rfam family "Bacterial small subunit ribosomal RNA", at positions 524 to 776 of the family's 1533-position model. The record is from RNAcentral.
UACAGAGGGGGCCAGCGUUAUUCGGAAUUAUUGGGCGUAAAGGGCGCGUAGGCGGCCUGGCAAGUGGAAGGUGAAAUCCCUCGGCUUAACCGAGGAACUGCCUCCCAAACUGCUUGGCUUGAGACCGGGAGAGGUGAGUGGAAUUCCCAGUGUAGCGGUGAAAUGCGUAGAUAUUGGGAGGAACACCAGUGGCGAAGGCGGCUCGCUGGACCGGUACUGACGCUGAUGCGCGAAAGCGUGGGGAGCAAACGGG